UACAGAGACUGCAAGCGUUGUUCGGAUUCAUUGGGCGUAAAGGGUCCGCAGGUGGUCGAGUAAGUCGGAUGUGAAAGCUCGUGGCCUAACCACGAUAGGUCAUUCGAAACUGCUCGGCUCGAGGACUGGAGAGGAGACUGGAAUGGUCGGUGUAGCGGUGAAAUGCGUAGAGAUCGACCAGAACACCAGUAGCGAAGGCGAGUCUCUGGACAGUUCCUGACACUCAUGGACGAAAGCCAGGGGAG
Molecule: ribosomal RNA, 245 nt
Filed under: uncultured bacterium
Lineage: Bacteria
Description: partial 16S ribosomal RNA
Rfam family: Bacterial small subunit ribosomal RNA
Source: RNAcentral